Molecule: ribosomal RNA, 118 nt
Filed under: Secale sylvestre
Lineage: Eukaryota; Viridiplantae; Streptophyta; Magnoliopsida; Poales; Poaceae
Source: RNAcentral
GGAUGCGAUCAUACCAGCACUAAAGCACCGGAUCCCAUUGAACUCCGAAGUUAAGCGUGCUUGGCGAGAGUAGUACUAGGAUGGGUGACCUCCUGGGAAGUCCUCGUGUUGCAUUCCC